CCUAUGGAGAUUUAAAAAAAAAAAAAAAAAAAAAAAAAAGCAACAACAAAACACGGAAGUGAAAAUAAAUAAAGUGGUUAGGGCACUUACAUUUCUAUGAUUUCCAUCUCCGUUUAAAGAUAGCAGAAGUUUUGUUUUUCCUCUACAAUAGCAUUCAGUGGCCAUAUCCUCUGGAUACCCUUCUUGUGAGUCUAGAUAUAACUAUUUAAAAAACUUACAGUUUUUCUUUUGUAGAUCUUAUUCCAGUCUCUGCAUAUAUUCACACUACAGAGGCUCAUGUCAAUCUUCGAGGAUUGCUGCAAUAUGUGUGCAGUUUAAGGCCGGAAUCGAUCUUCUGACCCCCUACACAGCCUCUCUUUGAGAGAGAGACAAGAAACUGCAACUGGCAUGGGUCAGCUCCAUUCAGAUUGAAUGUUUUCCACAUCAACAAGACUUCGGCACAGAAUUAACCAGCACUGUUCUUGGACCGCUGCCUCCUUCCCUCCCUGUCUGUCCAAGUUGUGCAGUCAUACGUUCAUCAGUGUCCUACUGCUAUCAGUAAUUCUCAAGGGAAAUCAUAGAAUCAUUCACGUUAGAAAAGAUCAUUAAGUUCAACCAUCAACCCAUUCACCACCCUGCCCCCUAACAAUGUACUAAAAUGCCACGUCUACAUGUUUCUUGAACACCUCCAGGGAUGGUGAUUCCACCACCUCCCUGGGCAGCCUGUUCCAGUGCCUCACCCCUCUUUCUGAGAAGAAAUUAUUCCUAGUACUCUACCUGCGCCCCUUGGCGCAGCGUAAAGCUUUUGUCCUACUACUGUUACAUGGGAGAAGAGGCUGACCCCUAGUUUGCUGCAGCCUCCUUCUGGGUCAUUGUUAAGAGCGAUAAGGUCUCCCCCGAGCCUCUGAAAAUGUUUUCAUCCCUAGUGUUUGUUAUGCAGCUCUGAAGCUCUACUAUACGUGUGCAUUAUGUACUAUAAUGUACUAUACAUUAUGAAACUGAUGAAACUAUGGAGUCUCUGUGAGACAUUUCACUUUAGCAGUUCUCUGCAUCACAUGCAUCUCUAAGACAUAUGGAGUGUGGUGACACAAAGGUUCUCAGAAAGAAGCCCUGGAUAACAGGAAAGCCAUGUUAGUAUGUGUAACCUUAUAAUGUCUGUGCACACUGGAGCCUUCUUGAUCUGAGCAUUUCAUCACUUCGGACUACACUGUGUGAACAGCAAUGGUUUUAAAGGAUCUGGUGGGAGUGAGGAACAUACAACCCUCACUUCUUUGAUACAACUUCCCAAAUGCAGUUUUCUCCUCUGGGAUGACCAAAGACACCAUUCUGUUGCAUGUGGAAAGCAUUCCUGUGAUUUAAGUAUCCUUCGGUUAUUAGAGUUCCAAUCAUUGGUCCACAUGAACAGUUGGGACCUGUGGUGGCUAAGGGCCUGGAGCUGAGAAGGAUACCUCCUUAUGUCCCAAGAUCAAAGAAAGCCAUAAUGAACAAGUUCAACUCAGAGCUCAAUUCCUGAAGAGUAGACUGGAUUUGGGAUGAUCUGCGUUUGUGUCCUCAGCUCUGAUGUGCAGCCUCUGACUCUACCAGCCCUGCUAUAAGAAGGCUGGUUCUCCUCUGCUUCGUGCCUUGGGCUCAGCCUUUUACCCUUCUGGGAGACUUCAUGCCAAUAGUCAGCCACCUGAGCAAGCAGGCGACAAAUGCCAAGAGCAGGGCUCUGGGGCACCAGAAGCAGGAGACAUAGGGCCCACAGCUUUGGGCCUUUCACACUCAGCUCCUUAAGCGCUUCAGGGGCAACAUCUGAGGUUAUGCCAGAGUCACUUUCAGCUGUAGGGAAGGAAACAAGUUUUCUGUGACUUCACUAAGGUUGUCUAAUAAGAAAAAUGUGAGAAACAGCUGCCUUCUUUAAGAGUACUGGCCUGCUGGGGUACAUGAACCAUAGAGUCCUCUCCAGAUAGAGAGCUGGGAGCAUAACCAACUCCUGACUUAAUGGUGCCAGCCCACUUCUGAAAGCAGCUUCACAUUUGGAUAGAGCCUAGGAAAAUUCAUACUGAAAGGAAUCCCCCUAAAUCUCUAGUUUGAUUUCUUCCUUUGAGGUCAAAGUUAGGCAAGGUUUUUAUCCAGUCUGGCCUCCAGAUGGAGAUGACACUUUGCUCAGGGUAGGUGAAGACUGAUCUGCUGGCUCCUGGUUACCAGAAUCUGAACAGCUACCACAGGAAUAGGGCAUGGAGGAGAAGCCUAAGCAUAGAAUGCUGCUCAUCUCAUAAAAAAAAUAAAAUUGAGACAGACAUGAGAGCUUCCUGGGGUGGUCUCUCUAAAGCACUGGGUUUUGAGUUGUCCCCGUUCUUACAAAACAGUUAGGAUGUUACCUGGUCCAAGAAAAGUCCGAGGUUUAGACUACUUAUUUAGAAGAUGAAGAUUGAGUGCUUUGACAUCGUAUAUAAUUCAGUAUUUUUUUUUUUAUUUUCAUUUUUACAACAUGGCACAACUUUAACAGCAGACCAAAAGAGACUGAAGUUUCACAGCAUAAUAUAGCUGCAAAAGGGCACUGUUUUGUCCCAUACUGUGCACAUACACCCUAAACUACUAUCUUCUGUUCCUACAGUAAGGAAGAAAGUAUAUCAACACCACAGAUUCUGCUUGCUGUUUUUUUGCAAAGGGAAGUUGGACCUGCUUAGUUAUAGAAGAGGAAUCUAGCUGGAAGUCCCAUACAGCUGCUUUGUAGUUCUUCCUAGUUUCCCUCUUAUCCUUAAAUAACUCCUUACCCACUCUUUUCCUUCCACAGACAUAGUUGUCAGCACCAACCCCAUUUUCCUGCAUACAGCAAAACACUCCAGCUCCCCAAUCUCAAGCACUCACAUCAAAGGCUAUAAGGUUCAUAUUUUAGGCUCCCAUGUGUCUGGAGUGACACCUGAUGGGAGUGAUAUCCUAAUGAGCAUCAGGUGCAGCUCUGUAGGAAAUAAGCACUGAGCGGGAGCCCAUUUGUGGUUCCUUCAGCCCAGAUACCUACCAACUCCUCCCAGGUAAGGUGAGAUGGUGUGCCAGGCAUUGAUGCUGCCUUUCCUCAGGCACUGUCCUAGAGCAAGUUCAAGAUGCAGCAGUGGGAUUCCUUCAAAGAUAAGAGCGAUGAAGUAUGGGAUCAGGAAUGUCCCUGAAAACACAAUUAAGUGCAAUUAAGCCACACAGUUAUCUGCACCUUGUUCAAAUUGCUGUUAUUUCCUCUACUUCAUGACUGUAACAAAGUCCUUGUAGGAAAUGUUGAGAGAGGCAGUGGUGAUGUGGAUGCUUGCCCAGGAAUGGCUGCUGAUUGUGGGUUGUUUUGGUGGUGGUAAUGAAGGAGGAAGGGCCAGGGCUGCUAAUGCUGCAGGAUGCGUCCCCUCAGCAUUCUGACAUCUCAUGAACACAGAAGCUCUAAGGAUCUUCACCCUUUCCACUAUUUCCCUUUCUUUUGUUGGGGGAAUAGCAGCAGAUACACAAGCUAGAGAGUGGGAAGUUGGAAACUCUAAAAGCUUCUUAUUUUUUUAUGACUAGCCUUUGUAAAGCAUUAACAAUUACCACAGUUCUUGAAAGGCAGGUGUCAUUCCAUUCUGAUGUCUUUUUAUGUGAUCUCUUUUCUGCAGAAUGGUCAGACCAAAGCUGAGGGGCUGCCCUUUCCCCCUGGCAAAGCAAGGCUUUGCAAUGGAAGCCCCCAGGACACCACAUUUCUGCGUGAUGUUCUACAUGAGUCUGUUGGUGUUGGGUAACUGGAAACAAGCCAAAAACUGUUCUGUGAGCUGUGGGAGCAAUUACAUCUGGUUUCAUCCAGGUUUGGAUCCUUUGUCUUCUACAUCUUUCAUCUUUUUCUCUGUUGAACAGGAGGCAGCACGUGUUUCUGGCUGUUGCACGAUGGUGUGCGCUGUCUUGGGUCUCCGUUCUUUACACAGACAAUGAUUUUCAUGAGACCAAGUGACAUCUCACUGUCCUGAAAGGCCACUGUGAGGUCUUCCUGGAGCCUUCUCUUCUCAAAGCUAAACAAGCCCACCUCAGCCUUUCUUCAUAGGAGAGGUGCUCCAGUUUUCACGUCAUCUUUGUGGCCCUCCUCUGGACCUGCUCCAACAGCUCAAAGGCUUGAAGGGCACGAUCUUUGUGUAGUACCUACAUGUGGCAGUCUGGAAGAAAAGAGCAUGAACUACAAGAGAGCCUGUCGAGAGGUGCUCAUGGCUGUAUGGCUACACCAGCAAGCAGAAUGCCAAAGAAACUGAUGAUGAAGAGCCAUCUAGCACUGAGUCACAGUAACCAGCAAGCUGAAGGGGAAGCAGAGCAUUGCGUCAACAAGUAGAGUGGUGAUAACAUCACCUCAAGGAUCACCUUCCAUUCACUCAGCAAGCAAAGAUGUAUACUAGCUGUAAUCAGGUGCAACUUUGUAGUAUGUUAGUUGGAGGUUUUUUUGAAGUAUUUUCAGAUGACUAUAUAUGUACAUAUGUAUGUAGAUAUAUUGCUAUAUGACCUGUUUGAGUCUCAGUUCUAGGUGACAAAAAACAUACCAGGCCAUUUAGAAAUAUCUUUUCAAUCCCAGUUGCCUGGGAACCUUUGUAUUUGUCUCUGCUCACUGUGGCAAACAACCUUCAUAUCCAUUAGUCAUGAAAAGUAAAUAGCUAACUUAACUCAGGCAAUAAAUCCAAAUAAUCAGUAAACGAAAGCAGGUGAUAAAUGUCAGCAAAACUGAUAUUAUAUUAGAUCCAAGUUACUGAGUAACACUAAUGUGCGAUGAAUAAGGUUCAGAGGUCUGAGGAGAACAGCUGACAUGAGACAAAUAUACAAGCACUUAUUUUUAUCUCGUUUUUUAAAAGAUCUAGAAAUGAGGAAAAGUGCAUUGUCUAACUCUUAAACACCUGGAUCAUUAGUGAAAAUGUGAUCUACAACCCAGAAGCCAUUCAGCUAUAGACUGAGUCUUCUGUGCCAUUUCCAUACCAGUUUUUGCUGUGCUCGUGUUGGGGCUGAGGUGCCAAGCCACCACCUCUUGGGUCUCAUAGUUAACCAUAAUGCUGCUGUUCACAUCUUCAGAUACGCUCCAGUGCACCUGAAAAUCUACUGGGCUUUUGCAUCUGAGUUGUUUGCUUUCAAAAGUGUAACCCCAAAUUGUAUCUCUGCCUAAAAUUGGCAGAAUGAAAAUGCAAUCACAUUGGGCACAUGUGUAAACAUAACAGCUCUGUCUUCUUGGUGGUCUUCAUCAAUCACUUAAAUUCUCCCAACACCUGCUGUCCAGGAUGAAUUAUUUAUCAAGCCCACAGAAUUUUGUCAGCAAAUUGUUAUAGUCAUCAGCUGAGCUCUCUGAGCCCUUACUUAAAAUCCAAUGACCAAACACUGGCCGUGCGUCCAUACGCUGAGCUUUAUUCACCACUGUCUUUGUGCCACUGGUUGUAGUAAUGCAGAGUACCUGUAUCAUAGAAUGAUCUGAGUUGGAAGGGAUCCUUAAAGACCAUCCCUUCCAACUCCCCUGCAACAAACAGGGACACCUACAGCAGAUCAGGCUGCUCACAGUCCCCUCCAGCCUGACCGUGAGUGUCUCCAGGGAUGGGGCAUCCACCACUUCUCUGGACAACCUGUUCCAGUGCCUUGCCACCCUUAAAUACUCUGGAUGGUGUCACAGACUCUGCUUGCUUGCUAUUUUUUAUCAUUUUUUUCACUGAUAAAAUGAAGUGAAAAAGUGAAAAAGCUCAAAGUGAAAAAGAAUACUCAGCCUUUGUCCCUGUAGCUUUUCCCCAUUUUUAUUAUCUUUAAAACUGUUGUAGGACUGCCUUUUUUGUCGCUACCAGUGCCUGUGAGAUAUGUCAGUGCCAACACAAGUAACCUGACUUUCUGGUCACAGCGUGAUCUGUAAGAAAGGUUUCCUUGCCCUCGGCCUUGUGGCCUACCUGGUAUGGGAGCAAUGUGUAGGGCAAGGAUGCAGGAGGAGAGUGUUGGGUGGUGUACAUAACUUUUGUGCCCUUUCUUAUUCUCCUCAUUCAUUUCAGUCUCUUUCAUUGUGAAAUGGUUGCCUUAAACGUUGGGCAUGAGCACAUGAGAGUGUCAGACUGGGUUUGUCUGAGUCUAAAUACAUGGAAAGCAUUGGACCACAGAAACAGGUGGAGUAGAAAAGCCAUGCCCAGCACAAUCCCUGCUGAGCUGAGUGUCUGAAACCAAAGGCAGAGAGAAACCUGUGACUGCCCUCCUGCCCAGGCUGUUGGUAGCUACCUGUGCUUGGCAAUAGCAUGACAUGCCACUGGCUUACCAGGUGUCGUCAGUGUUCUUCUUAGCCCUCUCCAUCCUACACAUUCUCUUAAGUUGUUAACUUUCCAUAGAGGGGCCCAGACUUAUUUCCUGGCUUCCUGUAGUUAAGAUGCUUAAUUAAAGACGAAUUUUAUGAGUCAUUUGAAAAUGUGCUAGCAUAGGAUUUAGCAUGGCACCAAGCAACUUUCCUUUUUCUUGUCAUUAGCACAGGUCAUUGGUUCGCAUUUCCUAGAGCUUAGUGAGCUGUAGGACCGUACCUUUUUUCACUCGCAGUAAUAGUUUAGAGUGGGAUCAAAAAAUACCAGGGCACCUACAGGAGGAAAAAACUGAAAUCCAGUUCUGGAAAAGUGAAAUCCUGAAGAAUCUGUGUAAGUUGCUGGCUGUUCCCAAGAGAUGUGUGUUGCCUUGUCUUUGCUGUUCAGGCUGUCCUGAGACUCAAAGAUGCUGCUCUAGACAUGCUGGGUGCUGCUCGGUUGCCUGCUCUCAGGCAUCCAAGACCACCUGAGAUGCUGCAGGGUGUUUGUCCAACUCCAGAACACCCUCCCUUCAGCCAUGCACUGUUUCUGCAUUGGAGAUGUACCUCUAAAGGUGUGUGUCCUGCCUUACUGUGUGUGUGUCAUUAGCUGCAGUGACAGGCUUUUUCCAGCCAUUCCAAUUGACGGAGAAACAGCAUGCUCACAGCUAUGGCUUUCUAGCCACCCGGUUAUGGCAAGCAGCUGAGAGCGCUUCACUGGGUUUCACAUCUUGAAUAUAAAUAAUAUAAAGUCUCCUGAGAGACUGCUGCUUCUUUUUUCUUACUUUAAUUACUGCAACAGUGGCUUCCAGCUGUUACAUCUUCACUGCUAAGGAGCCCCUUGCUGUCAAAAUAAUUUCCAUGUCCUCAUCUAUAGACUAUGGCAAAUAGAUUCAUUCGUUUUCAACUUUGUGAGUUAAAUGGGCCGGAUGCUUAACUCACUCCACAUACCAUGCAUUUUCCACAUCUGAAAUAAGUCUUGAGGAUCUUCUGCAUUUUUUUUCGUCUAGAUUUUGAAAAGUGGGCACAGAGGUUGUGUUAGUAGCAAUAUCUCCAUCUGUUUCCCAGUGCAUUGUGUAUGCGUGGUGGGAUACUUCAUGCUGAGACGGCCUGCUUGAUUUCAUUUAUUCAGAAGCUCACAGAGUCCUUCUGUGGCUGCUUCUUUCUUAAAUACCACCUGCUAUUGAUGGCAGCAUCAGUUUGUGGUUCCCUAGCUUAUUCAAAUACAUGUAGUUCAUGAAGCAAUGCAGAUACCUUGAUAGAAUUAGAUUGUUUGUUUGUUUGUUUGUUUUGCCAUUUGCAUGUUUCUCCCAGUUUGAAUUUUGUACUUAUGCUGCCAAUUGAAAGAUAACAAAUAAAACUGGGCUUAAAGAA
Molecule: long non-coding RNA, 7609 nt
Organism: Gallus gallus (chicken)
Lineage: Eukaryota; Metazoa; Chordata; Aves; Galliformes; Phasianidae
Exons: 6
Source: RefSeq, a predicted model, not a curated record